This 2925-nucleotide ribosomal RNA is filed under the name Escherichia coli. RNAcentral describes it as "bacterial LSU rRNA". It matches the Rfam family "Bacterial large subunit ribosomal RNA". The record is from RNAcentral. Lineage: Bacteria; Pseudomonadati; Pseudomonadota; Gammaproteobacteria; Enterobacterales; Enterobacteriaceae.
GGGUUGUGAGGUUAAGCGACUAAGCGUACACGGUGGAUGCCCUGGCAGUCAGAGGCGAUGAAGGACGUGCUAAUCUGCGAUAAGCGUCGGUAAGGUGAUAUGAACCGUUAUAACCGGCGAUUUCCGAAUGGGGAAACCCAGUGUGAUUCGUCACACUAUCAUUAACUGAAUCCAUAGGUUAAUGAGGCGAACCGGGGGAACUGAAACAUCUAAGUACCCCGAGGAAAAGAAAUCAACCGAGAUUCCCCCAGUAGCGGCGAGCGAACGGGGAGGAGCCCAGAGCCUGAAUCAGUGUGUGUGUUAGUGGAAGCGUCUGGAAAGGCGCGCGAUACAGGGUGACAGCCCCGUACACAAAAAUGCACAUACUGUGAGCUCGAUGAGUAGGGCGGGACACGUGGUAUCCUGUCUGAAUAUGGGGGGACCAUCCUCCAAGGCUAAAUACUCCUGACUGACCGAUAGUGAACCAGUACCGUGAGGGAAAGGCGAAAAGAACCCCGGCGAGGGGAGUGAAAAAGAACCUGAAACCGUGUACGUACAAGCAGUGGGAGCCUCUUAAUGGGGUGACUGCGUACCUUUUGUAUAAUGGGUCAGCGACUUAUAUUCUGUAGCAAGGUUAACCGAAUAGGGGAGCCGAAGGGAAACCGAGUCUUAACUGGGCGUUAAGUUGCAGGGUAUAGACCCGAAACCCGGUGAUCUAGCCAUGGGCAGGUUGAAGGUUGGGUAACACUAACUGGAGGACCGAACCGACUAAUGUUGAAAAAUUAGCGGAUGACUUGUGGCUGGGGGUGAAAGGCCAAUCAAACCGGGAGAUAGCUGGUUCUCCCCGAAAGCUAUUUAGGUAGCGCCUCGUGAAUUCAUCUCCGGGGUAGAGCACUGUUUCGGCAAGGGGGUCAUCCCGACUUACCAACCCGAUGCAAACUGCGAAUACCGGAGAAUGUUAUCACGGGAGACACACGGCGGGUGCUAACGUCCGUCGUGAAGAGGGAAACAACCCAGACCGCCAGCUAAGGUCCCAAAGUCAUGGUUAAGUGGGAAACGAUGUGGGAAGGCCCAGACAGCCAGGAUGUUGGCUUAGAAGCAGCCAUCAUUUAAAGAAAGCGUAAUAGCUCACUGGUCGAGUCGGCCUGCGCGGAAGAUGUAACGGGGCUAAACCAUGCACCGAAGCUGCGGCAGCGACGCUGAUGCGUUGUUGGGUAGGGGAGCGUUCUGUAAGCCUGUGAAGGUGGCCUGUGAGGGUUGCUGGAGGUAUCAGAAGUGCGAAUGCUGACAUAAGUAACGAUAAAGCGGGUGAAAAGCCCGCUCGCCGGAAGACCAAGGGUUCCUGUCCAACGUUAAUCGGGGCAGGGUGAGUCGACCCCUAAGGCGAGGCCGAAAGGCGUAGUCGAUGGGAAACAGGUUAAUAUUCCUGUACUUGGUGUUACUGCGAAGGGGGGACGGAGAAGGCUAUGUUGGCCGGGCGACGGUUGUCCCGGUUUAAGCGUGUAGGCUGGUUUUCCAGGCAAAUCCGGAAAAUCAAGGCUGAGGCGUGAUGACGAGGCACUACGGUGCUGAAGCGACAAAUGCCCUGCUUCCAGGAAAAGCCUCUAAGCAUCAGGUAACAUCAAAUCGUACCCCAAACCGACACAGGUGGUCAGGUAGAGAAUACCAAGGCGCUUGAGAGAACUCGGGUGAAGGAACUAGGCAAAAUGGUGCCGUAACUUCGGGAGAAGGCACGCUGAUAUGUAGGUGAAGCGACUUGCUCGUGGAGCUGAAAUCAGUCGAAGAUACCAGCUGGCUGCAACUGUUUAUUAAAAACACAGCACUGUGCAAACACGAAAGUGGACGUAUACGGUGUGACGCCUGCCCGGUGCCGGAAGGUUAAUUGAUGGGGUUAGCGGUAACGCGAAGCUCUUGAUCGAAGCCCCGGUAAACGGCGGCCGUAACUAUAACGGUCCUAAGGUAGCGAAAUUCCUUGUCGGGUAAGUUCCGACCUGCACGAAUGGCGUAAUGAUGGCCAGGCUGUCUCCACCCGAGACUCAGUGAAAUUGAACUCGCUGUGAAGAUGCAGUGUACCCGCGGCAAGACGGAAAGACCCCGUGAACCUUUACUAUAGCUUGACACUGAACAUUGAGCCUUGAUGUGUAGGAUAGGUGGGAGGCUUUGAAGUGUGGACGCCAGUCUGCAUGGAGCCGACCUUGAAAUACCACCCUUUAAUGUUUGAUGUUCUAACGUGGGCCCCUUACCGGGGUUGCGGACAGUGUCUGGUGGGUAGUUUGACUGGGGCGGUCUCCUCCUAAAGAGUAACGGAGGAGCACGAAGGUUGGCUAAUCCUGGUCGGACAUCAGGAGGUUAGUGCAAUGGCAUAAGCCAGCUUGACUGCGAGCGUGACGGCGCGAGCAGGUGCGAAAGCAGGUCAUAGUGAUCCGGUGGUUCUGAAUGGAAGGGCCAUCGCUCAACGGAUAAAAGGUACUCCGGGGAUAACAGGCUGAUACCGCCCAAGAGUUCAUAUCGACGGCGGUGUUUGGCACCUCGAUGUCGGCUCAUCACAUCCUGGGGCUGAAGUAGGUCCCAAGGGUAUGGCUGUUCGCCAUUUAAAGUGGUACGCGAGCUGGGUUUAGAACGUCGUGAGACAGUUCGGUCCCUAUCUGCCGUGGGCGCUGGAGAACUGAGGGGGGCUGCUCCUAGUACGAGAGGACCGGAGUGGACGCAUCACUGGUGUUCGGGUUGUCAUGCCAAUGGCACUGCCCGGUAGCUAAAUGCGGAAGAGAUAAGUGCUGAAAGCAUCUAAGCACGAAACUUGCCCCGAGAUGAGUUCUCCCUGAGACUUAGAGUCUCCUGAAGGAACGUUGAAGACGACGACGUUGAUAGGCCGGGUGUGUAAGCGCAGCGAUGCGUUGAGCUAACCGGUACUAAUGAACCGUGAGGCUUAACCUUACAACGCCGAAG